This 213-nucleotide unclassified non-coding RNA is filed under the name plant metagenome. Its description in RNAcentral is "partial contains small subunit ribosomal RNA, internal transcribed spacer 1, and 5.8S ribosomal RNA". The record is from RNAcentral.
UUUCCGUAGGUGAACCUGCGGAAGGAUCAUUCAUAAUAAGUGUUUUAUGGCACUUUUUUAAAUCCAUAUCCACCUUGUGUGCAAUGUCAGGGUUGAUUUUUCUCUCGAGAGGAUCAACCCCAAACAUCAACAAUAUCUCAACUCUUUGUCUGAAAAAUAUUAUGAAUAAAACAAUUCAAAAUACAACUUUCAACAACGGAUCUCUUGGCUCUC